GACGAACGCUGGCGGCGUGCUUAACACAUGCAAGUCGAGCGGUAAGGCCCUUUCGGGGGUACACGAGCGGCGAACGGGUGAGUAACACGUGGGUGACCUGCCCUCAGCUCUGGGAUAAGCCUGGGAAACCGGGUCUAAUACCGGAUAUGACUCCAUGACGCAUGUUGUGGGGUGGAAAGCCUUGUGCGGCUGAGGAUGGGCCCGCGGCCUAUCAGCUUGUUGGUGGGGGAUGGCCUACCAAGGCGACGACGGGUAGCCGGCCUGAGAGGGCGACCGGCCACACUGGGACUGAGACACGGGCCCAGACUCCUACGGGAGGGCAGCAGUGGGGAAUCUUGCGCAAUGGGCGAAAGCCUGACGCAGCGACGCCGCGUGAGGGAUGACGGCCUGGUGUAACUCUU
Molecule: ribosomal RNA, 401 nt
Filed under: uncultured bacterium
Lineage: Bacteria
Description: bacterial SSU rRNA
Rfam family: Bacterial small subunit ribosomal RNA
Source: RNAcentral